GUACUAUCGAUCUUUGAAUCUCGAAUAUCGUGAUUUGAGUAUCGACGUUGCGCAGCUGAGUUCGUGUAUUCCACAGAUGGAAUUGUAUGUCAAGGAGAGCAUUGAUAGAGAGAAAUGAGAUACAACAAUCGUGUAAAUCAAGAAAUUACCUAAAAAAGACGCGAGAAAAUAUAGCUGGGAAGAAUUUCUACAGGCUUAACCAUAACAUAACUAAAAGUUUCUUAGUGUGUUUACGACCGACGUUAAUAAUAGACGGUACAAGAGAAUUAGUAAAAAUGCACCGUUCUAAAUCGACCAAGAAAAAAUUCUCUCCAUCAAAACCAGUAAAACGUCAAAUGAACACUGUUCCUAAAUAAUUUAUUUUUGAUUCUGUCAUUUUUUAUACCGAAAAUGGCUUCGUCAACUAAGAGAUCCUGGAAAUUACAGGAUUUUGCUGCUCAUACAUCAAACGUCAACUGUCUAGCAUUGGGUCAUAAAUCUGGCCGAGUGUUAGUUACCGGCGGUGACGAUCGUAAAGUCAACUUAUGGGCCGUUGGAAAGCACAACUGUAUUAUGAGCCUGAGUGGACACGCGACAGCAAUAGAAUGUGUUCGUUUCGGUCAAACGGAAGACUUAGUUUGCGCUGGAUCACAGACCGGUGUGCUAAAAAUUUGGGAUCUGGAGCAUGCAAAGCUUGCCAGAACUCUGACGGGACAUGGAAAUGGUAUUAGAUGCAUGGAUUUUCACCCCUAUGGAGAAUUAUUAACAUCAGGAAGUCUGGACAAAGCAAUAAAGUUGUGGGAUAUGAGAAGAAAGGGGUGUAUAUUCACUUACAAAGGCCAUACAGAUACUGUCAAUAGUUUAAAAUUUAGUCCUGACGGACAGUGGAUAGCCAGUGCUGGAGCAGAAGGGAAAGUCAAGCUCUGGGACUUGCGAGCAGGAAAGCAAUUGAGAGAGUUUUCUGAACACAAAGGAUCGGUAACAACUGUCGAAUUUCAUCCUCAUGAAUUUCUUUUAGCCAGUGGUAGUACAGAUCGUACUGUCCAUUUCUGGGAUUUAGAAUCAUUUCAAUUGGUUUCUUCCACGGAACAAUCACAGUCCACGGCAAUUAGGAGUCUGUACUUUAGUCAAGGCGGAGAGUGUCUUUUUGCUGGUAGUCAGGAUAUUUUGAAGGUUUACGGGUGGGAACCAACACGAACGCUUGACUCAGUACCAACAGGUUGGGGGAAGGUUCAAGAUAUAGCUGUUGCACAAAAUCAAUUGAUCGGAGCUUCUUUUCACAUAGCAAAUGUAGUCCUGUUUGUUUGCGAUUUAAAAAAAGUCGCCCCAUUCGGAGGUAUCCCUACACCUGGGUCACCCUUUAGUCACGGCAACUCGUUGAGGAAAAGUUUUUCUAAAGAGAGACCUACCGAAUUGAAGAAGCACAAAUUAGACGUUAAAACAAUAGAGGAAGCAGACAAGUCUGGUACAGAUCCUGAGGAUGAAGUGAUGCUAGCUGAAAUACCAAAUGUCACAGAUUACAGAGAUGUCUUUCAACCAAACAGGUCUUUAUCUCGCACGCCUCCCCCUGAAUUAGAAGCUUUUGUCGAACCUGAAGAAUUGGAUCCUACACAGCCGCAAAUACUUCAAACACUGUCAACGUCAUUGUCAAAUUUGAAUACAAAUGAAUUGGAUGAAGAGCCACCAUCAAUAAUGAAGCCAGUACCAGUGCGUGUUCAUCCCAUAAAAUCUUCUCCACCAGUCCAGCGUAACUUGAUAACUUCUACAAGCCAAAUAAGAGCAAAUCUCCAGGCAAACAAUGCAAGCAAAAAUUCUAGAAAUAUAUCAACAAUCCCGCCACUUCGACAAAGUAUUACGCCACUGCUUAGCAAGAAGAAUGUUGGAAAUCAACCCUUGGGACCUCAGAGAUCAAACUCAACUUUGACACCUCGAGUCGCUCCUAUGGCUGCCAUAUCUCCGGUAAUGGAUGAUGGUAAAAUUAAAAGCAGAGCGCCCAGUCCAGAUUCUCCUAAACAUUGCCUGAAGAGGCAAAGCAGUUGUAAAGAGAGAGAACAGGGCUACGAAAGUGAUUAUCCGAUACAGAUAAACAACAUUAAACAUAGUCCGUCCGAUCCUGCUUUGAACCGGCCAAACACUGCUCAAUCACGGUCAACAUCGUUAAACAGAAAUUUUUCUAGUUCAACCCCUUUAUCAGCUCGGAAUGCAGUGAAAAAACAAAAUAAAGCUCAAAUUCAACCUAAUGUAAAGGUUGAAAUAAGGGUACCACAACUAAGGCCAGCAGUGGAAGAAAAGGUCAAAGAUGAAUUCGUUCCAAUGAUCGCUGACAAACCGAGUGGCCUUGACAUGGAUGAAUUUUUACCGAAUAGCUAUGGUGGCAGGGCAUUGGGUUACUCCCAAUUAGGCGUGCUCCCAGAAAUGUCAGAAGCCGAAGUACUGAACAGUAUGAUGCGUGGCUAUGAGUCCAUGAUGGCAGUACUUAACAGUCGUCAUAGAUCUCUGCAAAUCAUUUACUCGCUAUGGCACAGCAAAGACCUCAAGGCAGCGGUUGACUCCGCGGUAGCAAUGAACGAUUUGGCUGUUAUAGUCGACCUUUUAGGAGUUAUUACGCUUAAACCAACCAUUUGGAACUUGGACCUAUGUAAUUCUUUGCUUACCUCCAUCGGCGAUCUACUUCAAAGUAAAUACGAAAUUUGCAAAGAGGGAGAGGAGAGGAGGUCUUGUGACAUGUGCCAUUCUCACCAUCCUCACAUCUACACUCACUACUCGAUAUCUUGCAAUCUUAAGACGGACGUCACAUGAGAAGUGACCACAGAAGAUGGUAUUUAAUGUAAUCCCGUCAUAUAAAUUCGAGGAAAUCGGAAAUCUCAGGCUUUCUUCACUCAUGGCCAAACGGUGUUCAAUAUCCUGAACCUGCAACAGCCUAUGUUUACUGGUUAGUCAGCACUCGGUGCAAUGCAGUUCGUUAUCUCAACGACGUGUGAGCCAACGUUCGAUGAUAGUAAUUAGACAGACUGCGUAACACUGGAACGACCGAAGUUGUACUCACAACGAGUAAAUAUCAUGCUUUCGACGAUGCGUAACGAGUACGUAAUGCACUUUUUACCUGCCGUUCGACGUUCAACGUUCGGAGAAGUGUGCAUGGCUUCGGGCAAAGGUAGGUAGGUACGAGGCACGAGGUCCACGUUGUACGGAGAGGAGCAUAUCGGUUGAUCCUUAGCCCGAAGACGCUACAGGAAACAGGAUAAUUCCUCGGCUCACGCAACCCUCCGUCCGAAAUUGGACUCUGGAGCACGUCGGCCUCCGACGACGAUGCCGUGCCCAUUGGGUUCAUUGCGUUGCCCACUUGCCACUCGGCCACUUGGCUCACACUGCCAACCAGCACCAGAUGGGCUUCGAUGUCUGACAUUCGACGUUUCUGUUAUGUACUUGACAGCUACCCAAAACCUGGCCGAGAUCCAGCUGCCGUAUAUCUCAUACAUGAUACGAUUAAACUAACUACGACUUGUUUUCUAAAUUCGUUUUCAGCCAGUCAAACCUGAAUUUUUGCAGUUCGAUCCGUUGCUCAAGAAUUGGAAGUUGUAGUACGCGUGACGUCUGAGGUUUGUUAAGGUCUGAUGAAAUUGGCAGUGAAAAUGCAGCUUAUCCUGUUUUGAGUACCUAACACACUCUUGGAAACAAAUGGUGCAAGCUGUCCAUAACUCAUGGCAUUCAUGCAACGUUUAGUUUGGAUACAAUAAGUUUCACUUGGAACGGUAUGCACAGUUGAAGAUCCAGGUGAACGAAUUGCUAUUGCUCACAGUAAAGUAACCGUGUAAUUGAAAUAUAUCCCUACGUUUGAGGAUGAUCGCAGGUAAAGUACCAAGCCGAAGAUAAAGGUAAAAGGUAUAGGAGGGAAAUAAUAGAAAACUGAAAAGGGAAAAGAAACUAUAUCGUUGCUUGCAUUACCAUGUAAUCUGUCUAACAAUACAUUUCUUACAAUAUUUCUUUCCACGUAACAUUUUUCACGAUGCCCUGAAUGCAAUUUCAUUUCCCAUUGUCGUUGGUUAAAUAUCAUGUCUUAGCAUAGUGGUUUUUUAUUCUCAGAAAGAGAUUUGCAUUUCAUUUUAAACGUGUAUGUACACAAGACACGAUCCAAAACGAUCGCACCGCAGAUGAGGUAGAUCAUGCAUCAAGUUACUUAACGGGCUUUUUUUGACCGUAAAACGUAUUCCAUAAACGCAUGCUGUUUUCUUUCUAUUCGCUUAUUAACAUGUACAAGUAUAACUCGUUAAAUUGAUUUACUACGGACAACGGAGAAAGACUAAACUCAACUGAAUAAGAAUAAAAUUGUCCAUUAUAAAUUUUGAACUUUUCGACAAUGUUCCGUCUGUCCAUCUGCAGGUAGACAGUUUAAUUUCCAUUUGUAAGUUUUAUUCUUGAACGGACAUUGGUACAUAAGCAACCGAUAAAUUGAAACUGCAUUGACAAUCCGACUACCUUGACGAAUCUGCAUUUCAAGGAUCGCUGACAGGCGCGCAGUCCUCCGUAGCAAACCUAGAAUAUAUACAAGACAGCUCACCAACAAUUCGGUUCCUGAUUCGUGAAAAUGUGAAAAUGAAUUGUUUACCCGACGGCUAUACGAGUUUCUAUGUAACGCGUGAAAAUAAACAUCUGCGAUUCUUACCGUUCUCGACGCCUGGAAGGAAGGACCUCCUCGUCAUUCGCCUUGGAUACCCAGCAAGGUUGAGGUCCUCGAGGGUCAGCCUGAGCAAACAAUCGGGCUAAUAAAUGGGUGGUGACUUCCGGCGUGGCGCGCGUCGGGGCGUCGAGACGUCGGAGCGUCGGGACGAUCGGUCUGCCACCCUCGGACUCUUAACUUGCAAGGAAUCGCGGGGGUUCUGGCCCCGUAUUCAGGCCCCAGUUGCUCAAGGGCGUAAAACGUCUAUUCUUUCUCAGAGGAUUAUUCAGCCGGAAGCUGUGGAAAGGAAGACGGAGGACGUUACUGUGAAGUCCGUUUGUUCACCGGAUGUUGAUAUCGGCGAGAUUUUCGGAUGAUUUAUUUGACGUCCAUCAACUAUUUGUCAAGAAUGUUUAGCCAGAAAGGAAAACAUCACGAAGAUGGGUGGUGUGUCGAGGUUCAAUACUGACGUAUCGAGCAAAAUGUACGAUGCCAACGCUGCUCGGGAAAAGUUGUUGCACCGUUCAGGGUUGCUAAGGACUGUAAAUACCUGCAGAUGAAAUAAGACGAUGCAUGAGCUGCUGGUAGAGUGAUGGAAUUUUGAGCAUAAAAGUAUGUCCCUUAUCCCCUGAUGGUGGUUCCGAUAGUUGGGAGAAGCGGGAACGAUUUGUUUGAAUUUGGUGUUUUUCAAAUAUACCAGAAUCUAAUUUCUAUCGUUGAACCUGUAACAAUUUCCAUUCUUAAAUAAAUAUUUAACAAACGUCA
This 5401-nucleotide unclassified non-coding RNA is filed under the name Neodiprion pinetum (white pine sawfly). Its description in RNAcentral is "katanin p80 WD40 repeat-containing subunit B1, transcript variant X10". The record is from RNAcentral. Lineage: Eukaryota; Metazoa; Arthropoda; Insecta; Hymenoptera; Diprionidae.